Schizosaccharomyces pombe (fission yeast) is the source of this 309-nucleotide non-coding RNA. Lineage: Eukaryota; Fungi; Ascomycota; Schizosaccharomycetes; Schizosaccharomycetales; Schizosaccharomycetaceae. The record is from the annotation of a GenBank genome assembly.
CAUAUCUAAAAAUCACCAGUUAGUGUAAGAUUGAAGUAAGCAUGUGUCUCGAUAUUUACUACGUAUGCUGCGUUAUCUACUUUUUGGCUGGUUACAAGUGAUUAGAUAUUUACAAAUUCGCUGCACUAUCUACUUGUACAAUCCCCCUUGUACCGUUUUUUAGGUAAUGCGUCUAAUCCUUCCCAGAACUACGAGGCUUCGGAUGAGACACCUAUGUGAUGACUGACUGCAUCGGUUCUUCAAACGGCACUGAAUAAUCCAAAACCUUUCUUGUUACGAGUACAUUUGAGUAAUGUACCGCAGUUAAUU